GAGCAGGGCUUGUUAUAAGCUUUUCAGUUACAUUGAAGUGAAAUUAAUAUUUAAUUGUUUU
Molecule: transfer RNA, 61 nt
Filed under: Sphaerotheriidae sp. HYS-2012
Lineage: Eukaryota; Metazoa; Arthropoda; Diplopoda; Sphaerotheriida; Sphaerotheriidae
Description: tRNA-Val
Source: RNAcentral